CACUUAGAAAGGUUCAGAUCAC
This 22-nucleotide microRNA is filed under the name Pteropus alecto (black flying fox). Its description in RNAcentral is "pal-miR-8908d-5p". The record is from miRBase by way of RNAcentral. Lineage: Eukaryota; Metazoa; Chordata; Mammalia; Chiroptera; Pteropodidae.